This 541-nucleotide ribosomal RNA is filed under the name uncultured bacterium. Its description in RNAcentral is "bacterial SSU rRNA". It matches the Rfam family "Bacterial small subunit ribosomal RNA", at positions 966 to 1509 of the family's 1533-position model. The record is from RNAcentral.
GAACCUUACCAGGUCUUGACAUACUCGUGCUAUUCCUAGAGAUAGGAAGUUCCUUCGGGACACGGGAUACAGGUGGUGCAUGGUUGUCGUCAGCUCGUGUCGUGAGAUGUUGGGUUAAGUCCGCAACGAGCGCAACCCCUAUUGUUAGUUGUCAUCAUUAAGUUGGGCACUCUAACGAGACUGCCGGUGAUAAACCGGAGGAAGGUGGGGAUGACGUCAAAUCAUCAUGCCCCUUAUGACCUGGGCUACACACGUGCUACAAUGGAUGGUACAACGAGUCGCGAGACAGUGAUGUUUAGCUAAUCUCUUAAAACCAUUCUCAGUUCGGAUUGUAGGCUGCAACUCGCCUACAUGAAGUCGGAAUCGCUAGUAAUCGCGGAUCAGCACGCCGCGGUGAAUACGUUCCCGGGCCUUGUACACACCGCCCGUCACACCACGGGAGUUGGGAGUACCCGAAGUAGGUUGCCUAACCGCAAGGAGGGCGCUUCCUAAGGUAAGACCGAUGACUGGGGUGAAGUCGUAACAAGGUAGGCGUAGCGAG